RNAcentral lists this ribosomal RNA (425 nucleotides) under uncultured bacterium. Its description in RNAcentral is "partial 16S ribosomal RNA". It matches the Rfam family "Bacterial small subunit ribosomal RNA", at positions 354 to 796 of the family's 1533-position model. The record is from RNAcentral.
GUGGGGAAUCUUGCGCAAUGGGCGAAAGCCUGACGCAGCCAUGCCGCGUGAAUGAUGAAGGUCUUAGGAUUGUAAAAUUCUUUCACCGGGGACGAUAAUGACGGUACCCGGAGAAGAAGCCCCGGCUAACUUCGUGCCAGCAGCCGCGGUAAUACGAAGGGGGCUAGCGUUGCUCGGAAUUACUGGUCGUAAAGGGCGCGUAGGCGGACAGUUUAGUCAGAGGUGAAAGCCCAGGGCUCAACCUUGGAAUUGCCUUUGAUACUGGCUGUCUUGAGUACGGGAGAGGUGAGUGGAACUCCGAGUGUAGAGGUGAAAUUCGUAGAUAUUCGGAAGAACACCAGUGGCGAAGGCGACUCACUGGCCCGUUACUGACGCUGAGGCGCGAAAGCGUGGGGAGCAAACAGGAUUAGAAACCCCAGUAGUCC